RNAcentral lists this long non-coding RNA (343 nucleotides) under Triticum aestivum (bread wheat). Its description in RNAcentral is "long non-coding RNA (TAES_LNC006957)". The record is from RNAcentral. Lineage: Eukaryota; Viridiplantae; Streptophyta; Magnoliopsida; Poales; Poaceae.
AACAAACAAAGUUUCGAAAAUAAGGUCCCAUGACCUAACCAAUCUCUUGCUCUGACCUACCAGAGCCCCAAUCCCGGCUCAUUAAAAAUCUUCUCUAGUCUACCGCGCUACGCUGCUGCCGAGCGUAGUCGCCGACGCCUCACGGCCCUAACCCUAACCCACCUCUCACGCGCGUCGCCGCCGACGCCUCACGGCCCAAACCCUAACCCACCUCUCACGCGCGUCGCCGCCACCAUCGCCGUUCCCAUUCCACCUCGUCACGUCCCUGCCAUAUUCACCCCGUCCGAAACCUUGGACAUUGGUUUCUGAAGGUAGGAGCUUUUGGAUCAUCCAGCGAUUACUU